CACGUAGGCGGCUAGGUCCGUCCGAUGUGAAAGCCCCCGGCUCAACCGGGGAAUUGCAUCGGAUACAGCCUGGCUCGAGGACGGUUGGGGUGAGUGGAACUCCUGGUGGAGCGGUGAAAUGCGUAGAUAUCAGGAGGAACACCGGUGGCGAAAGCGGCUCACUGGACCGUUUCUGACGCUGAGGUGCGAAAGCUAGGGGAGCAAACG
This 207-nucleotide ribosomal RNA is filed under the name uncultured bacterium. RNAcentral's name for it is "partial 16S ribosomal RNA". It matches the Rfam family "Bacterial small subunit ribosomal RNA", at positions 568 to 774 of the family's 1533-position model. The record is from RNAcentral.